RNAcentral lists this ribosomal RNA (497 nucleotides) under uncultured bacterium. Its description in RNAcentral is "bacterial SSU rRNA". It matches the Rfam family "Bacterial small subunit ribosomal RNA", at positions 16 to 507 of the family's 1533-position model. The record is from RNAcentral.
AUCCUGGCUCAGAUUGAACGCUGGCGGCAGGCCUAACACAUGCAAGUCGAGCGGUAGAGAGGUGCUUGCAUCUCUUGAGAGCGGCGGACGGGUGAGUAAUGCCUAGGAAUCUGCCUAGUGGUGGGGGAUAACGUUCGGAAACGGACGCUAAUACCGCAUACGUCCUACGGGAGAAANCGGGGGGAUCUUCGGACCUCGCGCCAUUAGAUGAGCCUAGGUCGGAUUAGCUAGUUGGUGAGGUAAUGGCUCACCAAGGCGACGAUCCGUAACUGGUCUGAGAGGAUGAUCAGUCACACUGGAACUGAGACACGGUCCAGACUCCUACGGGAGGCAGCAGUGGGGAAUAUUGGACAAUGGGCGAAAGCCUGAUCCAGCCAUGCCGCGUGUGUGAAGAAGGUCUUCGGAUUGUAAAGCACUUUAAGUUGGGAGGAAGGGUAGUAACCUAAUACGUUGCUACUUUGACGUUACCGACAGAAUAAGCACCGGCUAACUUCGUG